AGUGAACGCUGGCGGUAGGCCUAACACAUGCAAGUCGAACGGCAGCACAGUAAGAGCCUGCUCUUACGGGUGGCGAGUGGCGGACGGGUGAUGAAUACAUCGGAAUCUACUUUUUCGUGGGGGAUAACGUAGGGAAACUUACGCUAAUACCGCAUACGACCUACGGGUGAAAGCAGGGGAUCUUCGGACCUUGCGCGAUUGAAUGAGCCGAUGUCGGAUUAGCUAGUUGGCGGGGUAAAGGCCCACCAAGGCGACGAUCCGUAGCUGGUCUGAGAGGAUGAUCAGCCACACUGGAACUGAGACACGGUCCAGACUCCUACGGGAGGCAGCAGUGGGGAAUAUUGGACAAUGGGCGCAAGCCUGAUCCAGCCAUACCGCGUGGGUGAAGAAGGCCUUCGGGUUGUAAAGCCCUUUUGUUGGGAAAGAAAAGCAGCAGGUUAAUACCCCGCUGUUCUGACGGUACCCAAAGAAUAAGCACCGGCUAACUUCGUG
RNAcentral lists this ribosomal RNA (492 nucleotides) under uncultured bacterium. RNAcentral's name for it is "partial 16S ribosomal RNA". It matches the Rfam family "Bacterial small subunit ribosomal RNA", at positions 29 to 507 of the family's 1533-position model. The record is from RNAcentral.